AUAUAGUCGUGCACGAGAUGCUUUGAGACUGAUAUAAAUUUAAUUCAAACAACAGUUUAAUCCAUUGAAUGGUUGUGUUGUUGGACAAUGUGUCAGAAGACAUUUUUAUAACUUUCUUCUACUUCGAUUCUAUUCCAAAAAUCAUGCAACUAAAAUGCUCAAAUUUAUAAAACCUCCAAAUAGUUUUUUUUUUUUUGUAUAGCGGGAUAUUUCAAUCAAUAUUCUAAAGUAGGAAAUAAACCUCGAUGUUAUUACAACUUGCUCGUGCACCUUAAUCAUUUAAAUGUUUUCCUUUUUUCUUCUUUCUUAUCCUCUCUCUCUCUA
Molecule: long non-coding RNA, 324 nt
Filed under: Physcomitrium patens
Lineage: Eukaryota; Viridiplantae; Streptophyta; Bryopsida; Funariales; Funariaceae
Description: long non-coding RNA (PPAT_LNC010166)
Source: RNAcentral